This 432-nucleotide ribosomal RNA is filed under the name uncultured bacterium. Its description in RNAcentral is "partial 16S ribosomal RNA". It matches the Rfam family "Bacterial small subunit ribosomal RNA", at positions 338 to 795 of the family's 1533-position model. The record is from RNAcentral.
CCUACGGGGGGCUGCAGUGGGGAAUCUUGCGCAAUGGGCGAAAGCCUGACGCAGCAACGCCGCGUGGGGGAUGAAGGCUCUCGGGUUGUAAACCCCUUUCAGCAGGGACGCGGUACCUGCAGAAGAAGCCCCGGCCAACUACGUGCCAGCAGCCGCGGUAACACGUAGGGGGCAAGCGUUGUCCGGAUUUAUUGGGCGUAAAGAGCUCGUAGGCGGUUCCGUAAGUCAGGUGUGAAACCUCCAGGCUCAACCUGGAGACGCCACCUGAUACUGCGGGACUGGAGUCCGGUAGGGGAGCGUGGAAUUCCUGGUGUAGCGGUGAAAUGCGCAGAUAUCAGGAGGAACACCAGCGGCGAAGGCGGCGCUCUGGGCCGGACUGACGCUGAGGAGCGAAAGCGUGGGUAGCAAACAGGAUUAGAUACCCUGGUAGUC